Long non-coding RNA from Xenia sp. Carnegie-2017, 805 nucleotides. RefSeq lists it as uncharacterized. NCBI's taxonomy places the organism in Eukaryota, Metazoa, Cnidaria, Anthozoa, Malacalcyonacea, Xeniidae. The record is from RefSeq and is a predicted model, not a curated record. The transcript has 4 exons.
AGCGACCCUUCUGUAAAUAUAAUACUCUGUGCAUAAAUACCAUGUCACAGUAAGCACAUCAUUGCAAGUGAUCAGAGCUUGACGCAAAAUAUAAGAAAAAAGAAGAUAAUUUUAUUAAUUUAUUCUGUUUCAUCUUGGUUUCAGUUGCAGAGGAUAAGUAAAACGAAAAAUGUGGUUUUGCUUUCUCGCGCUGUUCGCCUCGCCUCGUGAUUGUGUCAUGAUUUCACAUCUAGUACGUCAUCGCUAUUGGAUAUGACAAUUUAUCCGAACGAAUUUAGCCAAUCAGUUCUUUAGCCAUGAAAGUCUUUCACGUUGGGUUGUAUCUGAUGAUUUUUCUUGCAUUUGUCAACAUGGAACGAAACAAGCGCUUAAAAAGAAGAACGAUAAAUUCAUUAUUGGAAAAGACAAAAAAAGAGAAUGUAAAUCGUGUAACUUGUGGAGUAAUACAUGGAGUACCACAUUGGUGUAAAGAGCCUCACAAAAAAUGCUGCCGUAAGUACGAUGGUCGUGGAACUUUAGUAAAUUAUGGGUGUUGUCCAUGGUAUGGUGGAAAAUGUUGUCAUAACGGUAAAUGCUGUCGCCCUGGUUCCACAUGUGUUGGUGAAUCCUUGUGUUGGAAUGGAUUGAAUUCAACAGUAACACAUGCAUAAACGACGUGUUUAAGAUAGAUACUUCUUGUCGCUGCUGACAAAAACAAUUGUUACUCUUUUUUGCGGCUCAUAAUCUCCAUUUCGUAAUCAUAACUGAACAAAUAUAUUAAAAAAAAGUAAAAUCUUUCUUUCAUAAUAUAAUUCCUAUAUCUCGA